This 29-nucleotide non-coding RNA is filed under the name Mus musculus (house mouse). The record is from RNAcentral. Lineage: Eukaryota; Metazoa; Chordata; Mammalia; Rodentia; Muridae.
UGAUCAGGUAUUUUUCCUUGUGACUUGUG